CUUUAAUUUUAAUAUGAAGCAAGUACUAAUAUACUAAAGCAUAAAUUAUAUAAAAUUUGCUUUAUAUUUUGGAUUGCAAAGUAAUUGUUGUACUUUAUAGAAAAGUUUCCCAAAUCCAUUUUACUUUUUUGUAUUUGAAAUUUAAUCACAGGUGGAAUCUUAAAGAGAACAUUUAGGGAUAUUGUAAACAGAUGUUAUUAAGGACUAAUGUUAACUGAUGCCAAAGGACUACUAUUAACAAACAUUGAAGAAGAGAAAACAGUAUUUGUUUUUAGCUUAACAUCUUAGUGGAGCGAAAUAUUUUCAAUAUAUUUAUUUUAUUUAUUUAUUAAUUAUUUUUUUUUUGAGAUGGAGUCUGGCUGUAUUGUCCAGGCUGGAGUGCAGCGGUGCAAUCUCAGCUCACUGCAACCUCUGCCUCCUGGGUUCAAGCGAUUCUUGUGUCUCAGCCUCCCGAGUAGUUGGGAUUUACAAGUCAAUUUUUUUUUUUAACUAAAACUACAGAAUCUAUUUUUCUUGGUCUCAUACUCAGUUUUUUAUGUAGUCACUUAGUAAAUAAUGAACCUAAUUUGCUUGUUUUCUCCGCACUAAUUUUAGGGUGAAUUCCUCAUUUCGCUUUUCAGAUCAUGGGGUGAGGGGGAUGGUUGUGUGUGUGAGGAACUGAGGAAUCAGAUGGAAAACAAUGCCUCUGCUCCUUUGAGUAUAAUCAGUGAUAUUUGAGGUUCCAGGGUUAAAUGCCGCAUUUUUAUUUCUGACGUUCGUACCUUAAAAUAUUUGAAGAAAAUAAACUAUUUCAUUGUCAGAAAUGUAGUUCUUUUAUUUUCUUGCCCCUCUCCCCUUUCUAAGUUUCUAGAAUGUUGAGUAGGUAGAACAUAGAUGCUCCUUUUAGGAUCUUUUGCUGUGGAAUGGUCCACAGGUGAAUGGCAGUAAUAUCUUAAAAUGAUUGGCCCCUCUCUCUUUGUUUCCAUCAAGGAUACAGUUGAUAUAUUUGUUGGAUGGCAUAUAGAUCAUACUCAGAAACCUUCGCUCACGCAGCAGGUAUUUGGGUGGUCGCAGAGUUUGGAGCCAUUUUGGGUAGCUGAUCUUGCAUUUUCUACGACUCUUCUUGGUCAGUUUCUAGAAGACAUGGAAGCAUAUGCUGAGGACCUCAGCCAUGUGGCCUCUGGGGAAUCAGUGGAUGAAGACGUCCCUCCUCCAUCAGUGUCAUUACCAAAGCUGACUGCGCUUCUCCGGGUAUUUAGUACUGUGGUGAGGAGCAUUGGGGAACGCUUCAGCCCAAUUCGGGUCCUCCAAUUACUGAGGCAUACGUAACAGAUAUUCUGUACAGAGUAAUGAGAUGUGUGACGGCUGCAAACCAGGUGUUUUUUUCUGAGGCUGUGUUGACAGCUGCUAAUGAGUGUGUUGGUGUUUUGCUCAGCAGCUUGGAUCCUAGCAUGACUAUACAUUGUGACAUGGUCAUUACAUAUGGAUUAGACCAACUGGAGAAUUGCCAGACUUGUGGUACCGAUUAUAUCAUCUUAGUCUUGAAUUUACUCAUGCUGAUUGUUGAACAGAUAAAUACAAAAC
RNAcentral lists this long non-coding RNA (1563 nucleotides) under Pan troglodytes (chimpanzee). RNAcentral's name for it is "long non-coding RNA NONPTRT006380". The record is from RNAcentral. Lineage: Eukaryota; Metazoa; Chordata; Mammalia; Primates; Hominidae.